UACGUAGGGUGCGAGCGUUGUCCGGAAUUAUUGGGCGUAAAGAGCUCGUAGGCGGUUUGUCGCGUCGACUGUGAAAACCCGUGGCUCAACCAUGUGGUCUGCAGUCGAUACGGGCAGGCUAGAAUUCGGUAGGGGAGACUGGAAUUCCUGGUGUAGCGGUGAAAUGCGCAGAUAUCAGGAGGAACACCGGUGGCGGAGGCGGGUCUGUGGGCCGAUAUUGACGCUGAGGAGCGAAAGCGUGGGGAGCGAACAGG
Molecule: ribosomal RNA, 254 nt
Filed under: uncultured bacterium
Lineage: Bacteria
Description: partial 16S ribosomal RNA
Rfam family: Bacterial small subunit ribosomal RNA
Source: RNAcentral